This 444-nucleotide ribosomal RNA is filed under the name uncultured bacterium. Its description in RNAcentral is "SSU rRNA". It matches the Rfam family "Bacterial small subunit ribosomal RNA", at positions 26 to 518 of the family's 1533-position model. The record is from RNAcentral.
AGAACGAACGCUGGCGGCAUGCCUAACACAUGCAAGUCGAACGCCCCGCAAGGGGAGUGGCGGACGGGUGAGUAACACGUGGGAACCUGCCCAAUGGUCUGGAAUAACCGCGGGAAACUGCGGCUAAUACCGGAUAAGCCCGAGAGGGGAAAGAUUUAUCGCCGAUGGAGGGGCCCGCGUCCGAUUAGGUAGUUGGUGGGGUAAUGGCCUACCAAGCCUACGAUCGGUAGCUGGUCUGAGAGGAUGAUCAGCCACACUGGGACUGAGAUACGGCCCAGACUCCUACGGGAGGCAGCAGUGGGGAAUAUUGGACAAUGGGGGCAACCCUGAUCCAGCAAUGCCGCGUGAGUGAUGAAGGCCUUAGGGUUGUAAAGCUCUUUUGGCGGGGACGAUGAUGACGGUACCCGCAGAAUAAGCCCCGGCUAACUUCGUGCCAGCAGCCGC